Molecule: ribosomal RNA, 439 nt
Filed under: uncultured bacterium
Lineage: Bacteria
Description: partial 16S ribosomal RNA
Rfam family: Bacterial small subunit ribosomal RNA
Source: RNAcentral
CUACGGGUGGCUGCAGUGAGGAAUAUUGCACAAUGGGGGGAACCCUGAUGCAGCAACGCCGCGUGGAGGAUGACGCAUUUCGGUGUGUAAACUCCUUUUAUAUGUCAAGAAAAUGACGGUAGCAUAUGAAUAAGCACCGGCUAACUCCGUGCCAGCAGCCGCGGUAAUACGGGGGGUGCAAGCGUUACUCGGAAUCACUGGGCGUAAAGGACGCGUAGGCGGGCUUGUAAGUCAGGUGUGAAAUCCUACAGCUUAACUGUAGAACUGCACUUGAAACUACGAGCCUAGAGUAUGGGAGGGGCAGAUGGAAUUAGUGGUGUAGGGGUAAAAUCCGUAGAUAUCACUAGGAAUACCGAAAGCGAAGGCGAUCUGCUGGAACAUUACUGACGCUAAGGCGUGAAAGCGUGGGGAGCAAACGGGAUUAGAUACCCGAGUAGUC